This is a long non-coding RNA of Numida meleagris (helmeted guineafowl), 7311 nucleotides long. RefSeq lists it as uncharacterized. The record is from RefSeq and is a predicted model, not a curated record. The transcript has 3 exons. NCBI's taxonomy places the organism in Eukaryota, Metazoa, Chordata, Aves, Galliformes, Numididae.
GCAGAAUAAUUUCUGGAGUGCUACUAAUAAACCCUAUAUUCAAUGUCUUUGGUAGUAAAAAACAUUGAAGCAAGCAUCAGCAAUUCUUGAAGACAGAAUACAACUAUGAGUACCUGAAGGCUCUUUCUUUGGAUUGUAGGGGUGGAAUAACUUGUCAGGAAUUAGUAAAUUGGAAUCAAAUAUGUCUAGAAUUCUGACUAGCUAAAGACGGAAUAAUCAAAACUGUCAAAGGUUGGUGCAUAACGCUUUGAGACAAGUGGUCCAGCAAAUAUUGUUCUAAUAUCAUCUUAACCACAAGGGCUGCUCAGAUGUGAUUCUUGAAGGCGUUUAAGUUAGCAAAGAGUACUCAUCAUUAAUCUUUUAUAAUGGCUUUUGGGAGCCACAGUUCAUUUAAACAUUUUACAUUUUUAUUACUUAUGUAUGCGGGGCAGCAAUUAAAGCUGUCGUGGUCAUAUAAUGAAGACUAAUGAAAGCAAGAUGAAGGCAAGUUUUCAUUUUCUGUCAACCUGAACAUCCAUCUGCUUCUGCUAUCUCCCUGCCCCCCUGCCAAAAAUAUUUUUUUUUCUUUUCUUGAAAGCCAACUCCCCAGUCCCUAGACAUUUAGCCAAACACCUUCACAAUUGUCCAGGAUGAACUAUGAAGACUAAGUGGUCCUUUCUCUUCUUAUGAGGAAGAAGCAUAUCUCUUGAUAAUCAGACAAGUACUGUAAAAGGCUCAGUCUUUCUCAAUACAAGUAAAUUUGACUGAUUCGAUAACAACAUCUUUAUGGUAUGCUUUCUUGGCCACUGUGAAAUAAUAGCUCUGGAGGGAAGACAGGGAUUAGUCACCCCACAAUUAGUCAUUCUUCAGUGUAGCUUUAUACUUGAGAGAUCUGUAUUUCAGAAAUGUGGCUCUGCAAAUGUAGCUCCCAUUUUCAAGUACUUUCCACUUCCUUCCUCUUUCAGUUAGGAAGAGUCUGGAGAAAGAAAAAACAUUCACUCUUUAUACAUAAUGUGUUUCUGCACUUGUAUGUCUCUAUUUCUUCUUUAUACAUACAUCACUUUCCCUUUCUUGGGAGCUGCAAUCAAAGCCCCAGAAUCAGGAAGUGCCUGCUGUCCACAGCUACUUUCCCUCACCAGACUUGCCUCUAUUGCCUGCAAAGUCUUCUAUGCCAGUUUAUCUAAGGGAGAGCACAGCAGCCUGGCUAGAUAAGCUAAGGCUGGUCUUGCAAAGAGGGUGUCAUAAACAUGGGGCCAGUGCUCACAUGUCUACAGUAGCCUGGGACCCCAAGAAGGGCCAGCACCUGUUAGCGUUUGGUGAGGUGCAGACGGACUUGCACCCUCUGCAGCUUGUGUGUACAGAACUUUGUGGUGAGUGAAUUGUGAGCUGGGAACACUUGGAGAUUACCUCUUUCCUAAAGGGGAUUUACUGUUUUGUGAUCCAAUAGUAAUAAAUGACAGAGAUACCCAAACAAAAACUCUUUCGUAAUAGCCAGAAACUUUGCUACAGAAAAUUGGUUUCCUUCAACUGGAAUUUGAGUCAAAAGGCAAUGCAGAUGUUUUAAAGUGUUAAUCAUGAAUAUCAGGGGAGAAGGAGCUUACUGGCAGAGCUCCCACUGAGUAGGACUUAAUGUUUGGCCUCAGAUAUUUCAGCUGGUAAGAUGUUGCUUACUUCACUGAUGCAUACACAGCGGCUCCACAGUUCUCUUAACCAUUUCAUCUUUGGAAUUAGUAGUUGCAGUAUUGCCUGUGUGCCACAGAAAGUAUGCUUUGCCACAGCGGUUGCACUAAGCACAUGUUUAUGACUCGUCUAGGCACAAAGACCAGAUCUAUUCCUCUUCUCACAAGAUGGCUUGUCUUCUCAAAUCCCCACACCACAGCAAGAACCUGGAUCUUCUUUCCACCCAUCACUCCUCUCAAUUCCUUGGUGUUUCUUACUUGCCAAACUGUCUUCUCCCGAAUAUAUUCCAUGCAUACCAAACACUGCUUGAAAUUUGGCACUGAGAGACUUUCAUAAUUGUACUUAUGCUGGUAUAAAUAGAGUUAAUAACUUCUCAUUUCAGGCACCUAGUUGUCAUUAUUACUUACCAGCCCAAACUCCAAACACAGAAAUAGAAUCUGGCAAAAGAAAUACAGAGCAAGACAUGGGCCAAAUUGAUUUGACUUAAAACAGCAUCAAAACAGAUGAAAUGCCGUGUUUCAUUUGGAAAAACAGCAGCUGUGUCUGUACAGUAACUACUGCGCUUCUCCAAAGGGUUUUUCCCACUUGCAGGUCCAAAUUUAGCCUAAUGUAGCUUAGAGACAUAAGGUAAAGCUCCCAUUAAAUUCGUGGAUCAAACUGUUUAAAGAUGUAAACAGGAUUACCUGAAGUCAGUCAGAAGUGGUUUGAGUUGCUCCAACUUUAGGAACGCAGUGUAAUAUACUGAUGGCAGUCAAGGACUAAGUGGGAAAAGGGAACAGGGUAGAAAACGCAAGUUAAAGACUAAGCCUUGUUCCUUUUGCCUUGCCUUGCCUGUUAUAAACAGAUGCCAGUCUGUGCAUGCUCAUCACAGAACAGCAAUCAUCAUAAUUUACAGUGAUUUAAUAUUAGCAUGUCAUCACCAAAGUACAAGGAAUUAUGUUUCUCCCCAGUACCACUGUGCAGUAGCUAUAACUAGAUGGCAUCUUCCAAUAGGCCCUCUGCUUGGUAUAUGCCCUUCAUACUAAAUUAGUGCAAAGAUGCUACGGUUACAAGCUAAAGUGUUUUCUUGUAUACCAGAGGUUCUCUCUGGUCUGUUACUUAAUCUGCAUGUUUAUCUUUUCACCAAUGGUGGGAUUUAAAAGCAAAGCUAACCUGAAACAAAACUCUCUGACCAGAUUAAGCAUAAUUUAUACCUCUCUGUGUAACUAAGCAGGGAGCUGACUGGUGCUGUCAUUUGGUUAUAUGCUGUUAUACCUAGUCCCAAAGUCCCACAGAGCAAGUGCCACUCAGACUUGCUCUCUGUGACAACUAAAGCAGAAGAAUGCUACUAGUCAGAUAAAGUACACUUAUGCCAAUGGAAUGGAAGCUGUGUCUGAAGCAGUUGUUUUUUAAAUGUGGCAAUCUCGAUGGUUCUCUGACUAGAAUUGGAUUAUUAAAAUAGCUUGUAGAUCUCCAAGGUGAGGUUUUAUUUCUUAUUUCUCUACUGGGUUUCGUGCCUCAGGUGGAAAUGAAGUUAGUUUUCUGAUGACAAUCCUGCUUCCUUUUAUUCAACAGGGUGUGCAUGACACUCCUGUGUUCCUGAGGCUGAACACUGCGCUCCAACUGUUGUAGAGUCAAAAAAUGAGGCAUAUCCUUGAGCCGGCUUUGGUCCUUUUACACAGAAAUGAUGCGGGGGAGAAAAUUAAGGCGUGCGCAAUUAGUGAAAAUUGGAAACUGCAGUACAGCUUCUGACUCUGGCUGCAUUCGUGCAGGGCUCAGCACAAACAAAGCAGCUUCCCAUUGGACUCCUUACAAUGGAACAGAAGGAAGAUCACUACAAGCACUAGGUAUUUCUGUUAACAGGAAGCCUGGUAAAUGCUCUUUCUGUGCCAGUAACACCUCCUGUUGGCAGACUUACUUGGCAGGCUCCCGUCACUGAAGCAAAUGAGCUCUCUGUUUGGAAGAUUCACCAAAAUGGGACUUUCCUCUGUCAUGUCUCUCAGGAUAUUCUGAGGAGUUGGUUGUGGCCCUUUCAAUGUGAGGGGAAUGAAGUGGCCAAAAAAUGGAAUGGCCUGAAAAAAGAUGCCCCUUAGUUAUGCCAAGCAACAUGGAAAUAAUUUCAGCGUGGUUUGUGCUUCACUGUUGGUUUCUUUUUUCAUAAUCUCACUGCAUUUUAACUCUGGGUUUUGUUUUGCAUUUAGUUCUUUCUGCAGUUCUCACUGUACGUUAAAAGAAUGGAGUGCCAGCGCUGUGUAAAGAAGAAUUGCUGAGAGGUCACAGGAAGCUCACCAGUUUUCAGGUGGCUGAAGGGGAGGAAAGUUGUUCCUCACACAAAGGUCUCCCAGAGGAGAGCUGCUCUCACCUCACCUGCAGCCAUGCUGCAUGGGGAGGGCCCAGCCACAGCAGAGGUAGAAGCUCCAAGCAGCUCUUUUCCUUCAAGCAGAAAAGAUGAGCAGUGAUCAACAUCCUUGGAGCCCUGACUUAUAAUGAAUCAUUCUUUUCUAUCCUGAAAGCAGCUGGUGGUUUGGGACUCCUUCUUUUCCACAGUCCCCAGUUUACUCAGAGAAAGGGAACAAACAGUGACUUCAUCCUGAUGGUGCCCUGGACAGAGUCUGAAGAGGGAAAGCUGCUGAAUUGUGAAGCAAGUUCAUUUCCCUGCCUACUGGAAUAGCAGGGAGGAGUUGGUGACUGCCAUCCAGGCGAGACCACUGGACAUAGAAGUCACUGACAAUAAAGAUUUUCAAAGUGCCUGAGGAGCCUGUAGUGACCUUUCAUAACUGCUUUCUAAUGGGGUUAGUGAUCCGUGAUGUUGUGAAAAAGGUAUGUGUUUGCAUCCCUGGAGACUGCAAUUAGCUCAGCAUCAAUAUCAGGACUUUUUUUCCCCAGUGAGCAUUGGAGAACACCAAAGCAAAGGGAUGUGUUUAUGCUACGAGGAAAUAUUUUCGGUACUAUAGGUGCCAUCAGAAGAUAUGUUCUUCUGCCUGUGUUUGUCCUUUGCAAAGGUGACAGUGAGGCUGGUGGACUGCUUUCACUUACGUGUUUUUGUAAACAGACAAGAAUUGUGUUGUGUUGUAAAUGUCAAAUACCAAGUUAGUUUUUGAACACUUAGAGACCUGGAUGAAUUAACUUUCUCAAACAUAAGAGAUUUGCAUAAUUUGUACAAGCUUGGAUUCAAGGUAGCUUUCUGCCUAACUGCCUUGCUUUGAGAACUAGAUUGACCCAAUCCACCUGAAUUGUAAAUUAUCUGAUCCCAUGUAUGGGAUUGUGAUGAUGAAGAAGAACACAGGCUGAGAUGAAUACGGCAAUUUGACUGCAAGACCAAAUACCAAAUACUCUUUUAGGUAUUUAUCUGUGCUCUGAACUGCUGUCUGAGAAUGCAUGUCUUUCUCUCCUUUUGUAAUAAAACUGAAAUUCUAACAGUGGUUCUGCAUGGCACAUAAAUUAGAUAUCUGGAGGAAACAGUAUGAACAGAAGUCUGAAUGUAUGACUCUGCAUAUAACUGUAUAACACAGGCUUUUACCAGUGAUGGGUAAUAGGUGCUCAUAUUUCACAUUUCAUUAAUAUCCUAGGCACGUCUCAUAGACAUAAAAUGUGCAACUUUUUUGAAGGUGGAGUGUUUUGACAGUGGUGGUUUGCUUCCUCAGAACAUAUUUGUUUGUUUUAAUGAAAGCGGUAAAUAUUGUGCUGAAUAGAUCUUUUCAUUGUGGCUGGAGUAUAUAAUAUGUAGAUAUGGUUAAGUAGGCCUAGUGAGUAUUUAGAGCAUGAAGAUAAGUAAACAGAGCCUGAAUCAAACUUUCAGUCUCUGAGAUGUUUCCUGCAGCCUUUUCCUGUAAAAGAUAUCCAGUAUUGCUUUUCUUUGGAGAUAUGGCAGCCUUCGUGUACCAACCCAUCCCCAUGUUGUGGUUAGAAAGAGGAUGGGGAUUAGGUUUGAGUGCUAUUCCAAUAUCUAAAACAAUUCAAGUUGUUUUCCAGCUCUGGAGAAUCUACAACAGUUUGAUUACUAUCUCUGCACUCUUUUUUUCCAUUUGAGAGCAACUCUAUUACAUUUGUUAAAGUUCAUGACUCUGAAGAUCAGCCAGGUUUUUGUCUAACUUGUCAGAAGAAAAUAUGAAGAAAAGGCAACAGGCACCUGAAUAUGGCAUCCACAACUCUGAGGUGGUUUAGUAGGGCAGACAACCCGGUUGUGCUAGGAGGCAGCAGUAAAAUAGAAAUGAAUGACUCUGUAAUCUUGAGUGCUGUGGAAUGGAUAGGCCUAGGCUAGCGCCAGAGUCUUAGAAACAGACUCAUCCUGAGUGUCAAUAAACUUUAGUACCUCUUAUGUGAAAGAUCCUGGACCAGCCACCUUCCAGUGACUGAAUCUGAUUUUCACUAUGGGCUAAUGGUGAAAGGUGGUGAGUUACACUGCAUUUCUUGAAUGGGAGGAUCCACACUACCAGUAUAGUGAAUUAGCUUCCCUUUGAGAGCCAUAGCUGAGUCAAUGAGGUGGAUUCCUAUUCUGUGAAUGUGGGUUGUGGUGUUCCCUUUUAACUUCAGAAAGUCUUCAUCUAAGCAAUCAGGGAAGGCUACAAUAAUGAAAGCAGACAUAAUGCAUAGGGAAAUCCACAAUACUUGGGUCAUGACCAGUUUAAAAGUAAUCUGAAUAACAGCAUGAUGAAAUAACACUUCAUCUCAGUGCACUUAGGAAAAUGCAGACAGGGUUAACAUAAGAAACCAGACUGGUAGGUGGUGUGUCGCAGUAGAGAAUUACCAUGAACUGGAGCUGAAGUCUAGGAGGGCUAUAAAAACCUGCCUACAAGAACAUGAGAAUUCAGUGGAUAUGGACUACUGAGAGCCCAGGAGCCACAAAGGGUAGCCAGAGGAAACUGAACUGCAGUCCACAGCAUUUUAUUAAUCCAGUCCACAGUGUUUUAUUAAUCCUGCAAAACCAAGGAGCUGUCUAGGAUAGAGACCAAUUGCUGUGUCUCUUUCUUGGCAUUUUAUGUAUUAGUAACUACUCAGAGAGUGAUAUUAAGCUGAUAUAAAGCAGUCCUGUAAUGAAAACUCAUCAGCAUGGAAGUUGAGACUGAUGCUGAGUUGUGAUAGCAUCUCUUUUAAGGAGGAAUUUUCUCUCCUGUUUGCAAAUGCCAAAGAUGCAAAAUUUCCAGUGCAUGUAUUCCAUGUGAUGAGCUGGUUUAUAGCUGGGAUUCCCACUGAAUGUGCUUUUUGAGAUCUGUAGAUAAUGACCAAAAAAGUAGCCUUGUGUUGGCUUCUCAUGAUGUCCCACAAAGUGGUUAGUGAACCUGAAAUUUUAGACAUACUAAAUCAUGCCGUAAAUUUUUCUGGUGAUCUGAAUGAAUAACAGCUUACAUGUGAGAAACUGAAAAAUACAUGUCACUUCACCACUAAAAUCCAGUGACUGGGAGAAAAGCCACAAGUAAGUGCUGCGACCUUGCUGAUACAGUGAAAGAGGAGGAAAUAGGACGCUCUUGAAGAAUGGAAGUACUUAUACAUGUAUUUCAAAAGGUAUUUAUAUGAAUAUAUAUGUGUAUGUGAUAUAUAUACCUUGUCAACAAGUCUUUCUGUAUAUGGGACAUCUGCCUUGGAAACUAUCAAAUAUCAGUCUUUUCAGGUGAGUAUACCUAGAAGAAGGGAGAAAUGCAAAUUUUAAGAAUCAACAGGAAGUACAUAGGUCAC